GUUUUGUCAUAAUAAUUAUAGUUACCAUUUUUCCGCACCUUUUUCACAGUUGAGACAAAAUUCCAAGAACAUGGAACAGAUGCAUGAAAAAUAUUAGAUACUUCGUCCAUGCACGUUUAAAAAAAUAAAAAAUAAAAAUUAGAUUUAACACUUGAGAAGGGUCAGCUCAUUUGAUGGUUCAGCAUAGUCCAUUUGCCAACUUGGUCUUCCAAGAGUGAACUCUAGAUUAAUCAACAUGUCUGAAGAUGACAAGGAGCUAGAGUCCAACCUCUCCUUCACUCUUUCAGACAUAUGGAGGGUUGCCAUGGGUCCUUCCUCCUUGGCAUCAUGUGCAUUGAAAUGAGAAUAUGUUGAAGCCUCGUUGUUUGAUCUAUUUUGGUCCCUUGUCUCCAUUGAUGAUGACCAAGAGCCCGAACCUCUGUUAACAAGAUUACCAAGAAAUCAAUGCCAAAGGAAAUUACCAAUGAUAAUUAAUUAUGGAAGAUGGAAAACACAGCGAGUCCAUAACAAGAAAAGAAAUGUUUAAAUUUAUGUUGUUUCUUUGAUGCUGAUUAAGCUCCCUUCAUUGCUUCACUGUUGAAAGAUUUUCUUGGACUAUUUUUCCCUGCUGCCCCCCACCUUUUAUUUUCAAAAGGGCUAAAAGAAACGUGAGAAAGGUUUUCUUUUAAAUGGGAACGCAUGCAUCCAUUCUGCAACAUGAAAUUAUGAGUGCUCAGCUAAGAGCAUUAAUUCAAGAUUGAAAUUUGGCAUUUCAAGAAACUCAAAAAGCAAAUAAAUAUGGCCUACAGAACUCGAUCCUUUGGUUUUUUUUGUUGAUUUUUAACAGUUGUGUAUAUAUAUAAGCCAACAAAAUCCAGCCAAAACAUUAAUGGCUCGAUCAACUAAAGGAAAUAAAGAAUUACCAAUUGAGAUAGGGUGUGAGCUAUGGAAACACAAUUACCUGUUGGAUUAUUAUUUUUUGUUUACAUAAAAGCAUUGAGAUUUGAACCAAUCCCUUGACUUUCAGAAUACGGUGGGAUCAAGGCACUAUCAUUAAUCCAACGGAUAUAGAAUGUUAGCUAUCCUUACAUUAUUAUUCAAGGUUCACGUAAAUCACUACUGUGCCUAGAAACCCUAGGUGAAGUUCAUUAAACUCUAUUUAAGUACUAGAGGCUCUAGUCUAUUAAUAAAAACCUACAUAGACAGAACAUGUUGGACCAAAAAGUCCACCACCAAAAGGCAUUUGUGUAUGUGCGUGCAUGUAUGUUUGCAUUGGUUUAAUGGUUUCAUUGAAGUAAGCAUUAUUGUCCAUUUUAAAAUGAUGGAGAGGAUAAGAUGAACCUUUGGACAAAAAGAAAACAAGCAAAUAAGGGAGAAAGCAUGCAGGAGAAGCACCCACCUUAUUUGGGUUUUUUGUAUGGUUGGUAGUGGUGAUGUUGGUGGUGGGUUGUAAGAACAACAAGGGUUGGUUUCAGCUUUUCCAGAAGAUAAUCCUGCAUCCACAUCAACGAUUCCUGCCCUUUGCUUCAAACCCAUAUCUAUCUGGCCUUGACCUGCAAUAAUCAUAGAUAGAACCGUUGGUUCUGCUUUAUCAGACAUCAAGUAAACAAUUCACAAGGAGUAUCAAGUCCGUCCAAUCCAAACCAUUUUUGUUUUGGUUCAAAGCAGUAAAUCAAAUGAUAAGAGUUUUGAUCACACUUGAAUCACCCUGUUCUCUAUCUCAAGUAAAGAGAAUAAUAGUAUAGAAGAUAAAUUAAGGCUCGUUUGGAAGGAAAAUGUAAUUUACCUGAUCCUUUGUCAGUGCCCUUCACUGUUCUAUACAUCUGCAUGAACAUCCACAGAAAAAUAUGAGAAAAAAAGUCCACAUUGCUAAGAUUAACCUCUAGAUGCCUUUUUGUCCGUACCCCUUUGUUCUUCACCCCCACUGCCAAUGAGUCAUAGCAAUACAUAUACAGAAAAAUGACGGUAAAAGUGCAAAAACAACAAUGGGAACAUUGAAAAUUUUCUAUCCCAUACAUAAUUUCAAAGCAUUUCAGAUUGAACACAGUAACACCACCUGCAAGUGACUCUUCACGUGAGCUAGGGUUAGAUCCUUCACAUUCAUCAACUCCAAAACUGAUUUGGGUGUUGCUCUUUCAUGGCCACCCAGAAGCUGGACCGCAUGAACAAAAUGGGCAUGGAGAGUUGUGGUCCAUCUCAUUCUAGGAGCUCUGACGCUUCUUUUCACCCCACUAAUCAUUCUUCCAUUUCUCUUGAACUCUCGGCCAUAGAUUUGAGGUUGUUGGUGGUGAUGAUUAUGGUGAUUAAGAUUUCUUGGCAGUUGCAGUGUUGGAGUACACAAAUCUGCCAUUUCAAAACCUAAGCUCAAAGUAGGCUCACUAGGACCAAGAUUAUAACUGCUUUCUUGAUUAAAGAAGCCAUUUUCAUGGCUCAAAUCGCUUCCACUGCUACCGGAAUCCGUAGUUGAGGUUCUAUUACUGUAAAAGGCUUUCCUUGUUAAUCCUCCUUCAUAGUCCAACUUUUUAAUUGCUUCACAAUCGGAGGCCGAUGGUGGGCUGAUCUGCAAGGAAAGAUCAGGCAAAGGUGAUGUAUUUCUCAUUAUCGGGUUUGAGCUUGAGAACAUGAGGAUGAUGGAGAUCUAAUUUAGUCAGACUCGCAAGGGAGAAAGAAUAAUGAGAAAGUUAAAAAGGAAAGAAAGAGGAUUAAAUAAGACGAAUAAAGAAAGUAUAAUAGAAAAGCAAGAAAUGGGCUAGGCAACAACUUCGAAACGAAAGCUAUUUCUGGGAGGAGGAAUAGAUGAAAAGCAACGGAGUUGUGAUUAUAUGAUUAUAUAAUGAGUGCCUUAUGAUUUGCAUGGGCGUUGAGAGAGAGAAGAGAAAAGAAAGAGAUAGAAGAGGGUAAAGUAAAGAGAAAGAAUAGGCAUUUUUCAGUAGGAUUCCUCUAGGGUUAAUAGAUAUAGGAGAUCAGAGAUGGGAAAAAAAUAUAUAAACAGAGGUGAAGGAAUUGAAGAAUACAGAGAGUACUAGUCAGAUUAAAAAAAUGAAAGAAAGGAGAAAGUAACAGAGGUUUUCUGGGGAUGAUGGUUUAAAUGAAAAGUUAGUGCAAAAUGGGAAGUUGUGUAUUCAAUUCAAGAAUGCAGAGGGAUCAGAGACAUUUCUUCAGAGAUAUGGAGAAGAGGGUAGGGGUC
Molecule: unclassified non-coding RNA, 3166 nt
Filed under: Hevea brasiliensis (rubber tree)
Lineage: Eukaryota; Viridiplantae; Streptophyta; Magnoliopsida; Malpighiales; Euphorbiaceae
Source: RNAcentral